Long non-coding RNA from Ictalurus punctatus (channel catfish), 1612 nucleotides. NCBI's taxonomy places the organism in Eukaryota, Metazoa, Chordata, Actinopteri, Siluriformes, Ictaluridae. The record is from Ensembl.
AUAUAAUAUAAUAUAAUAUAAUAUAAUAUAAUAUAAUAUCUAACAAGUCUGCCAUAUGAUGAUGCAUUCCUACCUAUCACUUUAUGCUCAUCUGUGGUUAAAAAAACAAAGGGUACUUUAGACAGACAAACAAAUAUCCAACAGAGUCAAGCAUUUAAAUGCUUCAAUACAUGUAUUUAUUUAUUUUUUAAAAAUCAAGAAGAAGAUAUUCCAAAAUUGACCAAGUUUUCACAUGUUGAAACCUUAUUUUGCUAGCUAGCUACAAUCCAAAAGCACAAACUCGAGCCUGUGCUUUUCUACUCCAUACACUGUUGGUACCAUUUCUAUGUAACGUUAAUAUAAAACCUGCAUCUUCCAACUUUUACGAUUGUUUCGCUUACAAAUUUUUAACGUAAGACCGUUCCUUGUUAGCAGAACCCAGUUAAGAUCUUCCUAAACGGUUCGUUUUUCAUAAGUAGUAUCUUUAACUAGUAUCAGACGUGCAGUAGGGUCCACCUGGAGUCAGCGUCAUGGGUUAGUUCUUGAGACGGCAACAAAAAACCAACUGUGUGUUAGUAGUGUCAUAUGUUGGAAUCGAAUAUGGUGUCGAAAUUAUUUGAAUAAAGGAACCAAAUACCAUGUAGGCAGGAUAUUUAUGUUUUUUUUUUUGUUCUCUGUGAGGAUUUUGCUCUUAAAAUAUUAAGCUAAAUCAAAUGUAUUAACUUUUUGAUAAUGAUUCAGAUAAAAAUGGUUCUUGAUGGUGGACUUGGAUGUUUGGACCCUGCUGUAUGCACACAGAGACUGAUUUUUAUCAGAGAGCACUUUUAUUCUUAUGUCUGGAGCUUUGUUUUUAUUUUGCCAUCUUAUGAAUGUGUAAUUUACUUUAUACUUUCAUUUGUUUAUUUUAUUUUAAAAAACUUUUGUAUCUUUUGAAGGGAUUUUUUUUAAAUAUUAUUGUGAAAUGUUCAGGUAUGUGUGUACUUUUUUGUUAAAAAUCAAUCCUUUGAGGUCAUAGUGUUACGUAAAUAAGCUCAGGGUGAGAUAAGCCCCUGAUUUGGUACUGAUGACUUCUCCAGACUUAAUAAAACACAUUUUAAUGCACUUUGCAUUGUUUCAUUUUUGUUUUUCUCAUUAGGGUCGACGCUUUGUUGGUUAAAGUCAUAACAUUUGUGAAAUUAAAUGGUUGUGUUUGUGUGUUUCAACCGCUUGAAGAGGCUAAAUCGGGUGUGUCAGUGCUGUAAAACAUGGGAAGUAGGAUGGGAAACACAUAUAAACACAUUUAUUAUUAGGACUGCUCAAGGAGAUUUAGUUUUAACAUUUGUACCACAAAGUACUGCACGUUUUUAUUUGUAUUUCUGUUUCUAGUUACUGUCACCACCCUGAAGAUGAUCAUUUUAUCUCACUUGAAGUUAAUUAGACAAAAUAACGCAGCUUGUCGUGUUACUGAGAAACCGUAAAGAAGCGUAAACUCUUCUGUCCUGAAGAUGUUGGAAACGUAAAGUUACAGCUUUACCUCUGACACCGGAGACUCCUUCCAUACAUGUUACAUAAACGUCUCCUUAUUGAAAACGUAAUAUCACCAUAUCAGCGAUUACACACUACUAUAGAAACGAUAGCAUGGCCAAACGAGCGC